RNAcentral lists this ribosomal RNA (499 nucleotides) under uncultured bacterium. Its description in RNAcentral is "partial 16S ribosomal RNA". It matches the Rfam family "Bacterial small subunit ribosomal RNA", at positions 28 to 507 of the family's 1533-position model. The record is from RNAcentral.
GACGAACGCUGGCGGCGUGCUUAACACAUGCAAGUCGAACGGGCCCGCCCCUGUUUUUGGGGGUGGGUUGAGUGGCGAACGGGUGAGUAUCACGUGAGUAACCUGCCCCCUGCUCCUGGAUAACUGCUUGAAAGGGCGGCUAAUACGGGGUGUGCCGGCUGGUCCGCAUGGGCCUGGUCGGGAUAGUUUCAUCUUCGAGUGUUUCGGUGGGGGAUGGGCUCGCGGCCUAUCAGCUUGUUGGUGGGGUGAUGGCCCACCAAGGCGGUGACGGGUAGCCGGCCUGAGAGGGUGGGCGGCCACACUGGGACUGAGACACGGCCCAGACUCCUGCGGGAGGCAGCAGUGGGGGGUAUUGCACAAUGGGCGGAAGCCUGAUGCAGCGACGUCGCGUGAGGGAUGGAGGCCUUCGGGUUGUGAACCUCUUUCUCCGGUGGUGAAGGCCCUGUCCGUUGCGGCGGGGUUGACGGUAGCCGGGUAUGAAGCGCCGGCUAACUACGUG